Molecule: ribosomal RNA, 346 nt
Filed under: uncultured bacterium
Lineage: Bacteria
Description: partial 16S ribosomal RNA
Rfam family: Bacterial small subunit ribosomal RNA
Source: RNAcentral
CCUACGGGUGGCAGCAGUGAGGAAUAUUGGUCAAUGGGCGCGAGCCUGAACCAGCCAAGUAGCGUGAAGGAUGACGGCCCUACGGGUUGUAAACUUCUUUUAUAAAGGAAUAAAGUGAGGCACGUGUGCCUUUUUGUAUGUACUUUAUGAAUAAGGAUCGGCUAACUCCGGGCCAGCAGCCGCGGUAAUACGGAGGAUCCGAGCGUUAUCCGGAUUUAGUGGGUUUAAAGGGAGCGUAGAUGGGUUGUUAAGUCAGUUGUGAAAGUUUGCGGCUCAACCGUAAAAUUGCCAUUGAUACGGGCAGUCUUGAGUACAUUUGCGGUAGGCGGCCUUCGUGUUGUAGCGG